GUGGAAUUCGAAGCAAUUCAGGUUUGGAAAACCCGUAAGAACAAGGAACGGGAUGAAGGAACGUUGUCACCACGAGAGGUAGCGCUGCUGACAAACUUGCUGGGUACGCCGAUAGGACCUGCCGGUGCGAUCCUUCAGGGGUACGAUCUUGGCCAGGCUAGGCAAGACGCCAGAAACACGGGCUUCUAAUUUCUAAAGACGGUUGAUCUGGCCGUAGUAGCUAAAAGUCGUAUGUUUGAACAAUAAUCGUAUAGUUAUAUCUCUUCUAUCUUAUUACUAAGGCUUGGCCCGCUUAUGAUGCGGGAUUAUUAAACUUGGAUAUUUUUUACUUAUGUCUUUAAUAUAUAAGGGAUGAUUGCAUGCUUUUGCUGGUUAUUUUAGUUUUCAAUUCAUUUACUUUGGUAUAUUUCUUUUAGAGUCAUUUACACUCUAGGGCAGUUUUCAAGUUUUAUUUACACAAUAAGACAGUUUCCGCUAGUGAGGUAGUUUUUUCUAACUAGAAACCAAACCAUUAUCACUAAAGUCAUUUAUCUAACUAAAGUGGUCCUACCAUGUUAAUUAUUAUUAUUUUUCUUUGGAACACAAAGAAUUUUUUAUUAUUGGUGGACGUGAAAGAGGAUUAAACUUGAUAAUAAUUUUAUUUUGGAGCACAACUUUCUCUUCUCCACUUCGAUCUUCUUCUUCUCCACCUUGACCUUCAUCCUACGACAAACACCGCCGCCGGCUCAGUCUCCGACUCUGUUUCCGAUCUCCUACUUUGCGGCGAGUCUACAAUUCAUCGUCACCAGAUGGUCACUCUCGCGCCGUCGCGUCUCGUCUUCCUCAAGGUCUUCAAUUCGGUGGCUCGUCAAGCUCCAUUGUACUUUCCUCCGUGACCUCUCCUCCUUGCCAACCGUCAGCAAACCAAACCGGGGUCUCUCAAACCUCGACGGGACCUGUUUGUCUCGAAAGAGAAUGAAUCAGGUUAUGUAACUUAUGUUAAUAAUUUAUAAUUAUUAUUGAUCGACUUACAUGUUGUUUUGUUUUAUGUAGAUCAUUUCCUGCGUUGAAAACGCUUGUACGAUGCGUCAAGCACCUGGGGAUCUCAAAAAGAGGCUUGAGACAAUGUCCGUGUACUUAUGUGAAACUACUUCACACUCAGCCUACGCAGAGGCCAUAAUUACUGGAUUUUUCCAGUCGGCGGGGAGCAAUGUAACUGAGGAAACAAGCUGUAAGUUUAAUUGUUAAAUUGUUGUAACUUUGUAGUAUUAUAUAAAUGGUCUCUUAAUUAUAAACAUUUGUCUCGCAGUGCUCUCCGUCAAAAAUGAGAUCCAUGGAGUUUUCAAUGCUUACGGUCCGGUUCUAUUACCAUAUGCAAAUACCCUAAAUUUACAAGUAAGUUUUUUUUCUAUAGCAGUUAAGGGAUUUUAGGGAAGCUUUAUGGUCCAAAUCGUAUAACUAAAACGACUGUCUCUGUCAAUAUUAUGGUCCUUCUGCUUCAUCAAUCGCUUAUAUGCUUGUCAUUUGUGAAAAUCUGUGGUUAGUCUAGAGUCUAGACUAAUUAAUUAAGAUUUUUUGCAAGAUUUUUUGGCUCUUUUUCUUUUAGUUUUAGUGAAUAUGAGAAUUUUCUAAACUAAUUCAACAAGGCAAUAUAAUUUAGUUUUUCCAAACCUUGAAGCUGACAUUUAUUUUCAUCAGAUAUUUUGUCAACCCUUUUAUUGCUUAGGCUUGUUAAACGCUAAUCCAUUGUUAUUUCUAUUAGUUUAAGCUAAGUGUUCUUGUCUGCAACCAGUCCGGGUCUAUUAAUUAAAGCUAAGCGAUCUUUCUAAGUGUUUUUUCUCUUUUGAAGUGGGUGUCUAAUAGAGAACUGUGUUGUCGCUUAUUAGUUAACGUGAAUGUUUAAAAAUGCCUACUUUUGUUAAAACAACACAAUAAUAAAGACAUUAUUUUGUGAAGUGAAGACUUGGGAGAAAAAAGUGUUAAUAUACAAAACUAUUAAGCAAAUAAUAUAAAGUAAAACAAUGGUUAGAAGAGUGAAUUAGUACUUAACUAAUUUAAGUUAUACUAGAUCCUUGUAUUUAAAAAAGUGACAUAUCUUAAGCAAAAACAAUGUUUAAUACUACACAGUAUUACAAGUACAGAAAAGUAAGGAAGAGUUGGACAUUUUAUUGAUUGAAAAACUGUCAAAUUUUUAAUCAAUGCAUGAUUUUGUAGAGAAAGUGCAUGAAAAGUGUUUUUAAAAAGAAUUGAUGGAAUACCAUUUUGUUCGACCAUAUAAUUAAUAUACAGAUCCAAGUGAUCGAUACUGUGGAGAGAAUCUGCCUUGAAGCGGACUCAUCGUUUUUUCCAGCUUUCGGUUACGUAAGUAAAAAUAUAUUCUCUUUUUAAUUUUUCUAAAGUUGUUAUAUGAUGCUAUUUAUUUGGUUUUACUUUGGUUUGAUUUUAAACUAAUAGAUAAUUGAGGUUCUGUCGAACCACGGUGUGGAAUUCGAAGCAAUUCAGGUUUGGAAAACCCGUAAGAACAAGGAACGGGAUGAAGGAACGUUGUCACCACGAGAGGUAGCGCUGCUGACAAACUUGCUGGGUACGCCGAUAGGACCUGCCGGUGCGAUCCUUCAGGGGUACGAUCUUGGCCAGGCUAGGCAAGACGCCAGAAACACGGGCUUCUAAUUUCUAAAGACGGUUGAUCUGGCCGUAGUAGCUAAAAGUCGUAUGUUUGAAC
RNAcentral lists this long non-coding RNA (2701 nucleotides) under Brassica napus (rape). RNAcentral describes it as "long non-coding RNA (BNAP_LNC000847)". The record is from RNAcentral. Lineage: Eukaryota; Viridiplantae; Streptophyta; Magnoliopsida; Brassicales; Brassicaceae.